AAAACAAAAAAAAAAAAAAAAAACCAAACAUAUACAGAGACAGCAACAUACAGGCAGAUGUCAACUAGAUCACUUCUUUUUUUUUGAGAUU
Molecule: non-coding RNA, 91 nt
Filed under: Platyophrya macrostoma
Lineage: Eukaryota; Ciliophora; Colpodea; Cyrtolophosidida; Platyophryidae
Source: RNAcentral